AACGAACGCUGGCGGCAGGCUUAACACAUGCAAGUCGAGCGCCCCGCAAGGGGAGCGGCAGACGGGUGAGUAACGCGUGGGAAUCUACCGUACCCUACGGAAUAGCUCCGGGAAACUGGAAUUAAUACCGUAUACGCCCUACGGGGGAAAGAUUUAUCGGGGUAUGAUGAGCCCGCGUUGGAUUAGCUAGUUGGUGGGGUAAAGGCCUACUAAGGCGACGAUCCAUAGCUGGUCUGAGAGGAUGGUCAGCCACAUUGGAACUGAGACACGGCCUAAACUCCUACGGGAGGCAGGAGUGGAGAAUAUUGGUCGAUGGGCGCAAGCCUUAUCUAGCCAUGCCGCGUGAGUGAUGAGGGUCUUAGGAUUGUAAAGCUCUUUCACCGAUGAAGAUAAUGACGGUAGUCGGAGAAGAAGCCCCGGCUAACUUCGUGCCAGCCGCCGCGGUAA
This 447-nucleotide ribosomal RNA is filed under the name uncultured bacterium. RNAcentral describes it as "partial 16S ribosomal RNA". It matches the Rfam family "Bacterial small subunit ribosomal RNA", at positions 29 to 523 of the family's 1533-position model. The record is from RNAcentral.